GGAUGUGAGGGUGAUCUGGCUGCGACAUCUAUUACCCCAUUGAUUGCCAGGGUUGAUUUGGCUGAUUUGGCUGGCUAGGCUGGUGUUCCCUUCCUCCCUCACCGCUCCAUCUGCAUCCCUCCUGAAGCUGCACACCUGGUCAAAGAGGAUGACCUUCCCUCAUAGAGGCGUACUGUUCAUCAGUCUAAGGGUGUAGAGUAGCUGCGCUCCCCUGCUAGAACCUCCAAACAGGCUCAAGGUUCAUUUGUAGGAAAGCAUAUGGUAGUCAAGCUUCCAAGACUGCAGACACAGUUGUAAAGAGUUUCCACUCUUUAC
This 315-nucleotide small nuclear RNA is filed under the name Phalacrocorax carbo (great cormorant). RNAcentral's name for it is "7SK RNA". It matches the Rfam family "7SK RNA". From Rfam's summary of the family: 7SK was discovered as an abundant small nuclear RNA in the mid-70s but a possible function has only recently been suggested. Two independent studies have found that 7SK RNA binds the CDK9/cyclin T complex (known as elongation factor P-TEFb). The record is from Rfam by way of RNAcentral. Lineage: Eukaryota; Metazoa; Chordata; Aves; Suliformes; Phalacrocoracidae.